AUUGAACGCUGGCGGCAUGCCUUACACAUGCAAGUCGAACGGCAGCACGGGAGCAAUCCUGGUGGCGAGUGGCGAACGGGUGAGUAGAGUAUCGGAACGUGCCCAGUCGUGGGGGAUAACGUAGCGAAAGUUACGCUAAUACCGCAUACGAUCUAUGGAUGAAAGCGGGGGAUCGCAAGACCUCGCGCGAUUGGAGCGGCCGAUAUCAGAUUAGGUAGUUGGUGGGGUAAAGGCUCACCAAGCCGACGAUCUGUAGCUAGUCUGAGAGGACGACCAGCCACACUGGGACUGAGACACGGCCCAGACUCCGACGGGAGGCAGCAGUGGGGAAUUUUGGACAAUGGGCGAAAGCCUGAUCCAGCCAUGCCGCGUGCAGGAUGAAGGCCUUCGGGUUGUAAACUGCUUUUGUACGGAACGAAAAGGUUUGGCCUAAUAAGCUGAGCUCAUGACGGUACCGUAAGAAUAAGCACCGGCUAACUACGUGCCAGCCGCCGCAGUAA
RNAcentral lists this ribosomal RNA (500 nucleotides) under uncultured bacterium. RNAcentral describes it as "partial 16S ribosomal RNA". It matches the Rfam family "Bacterial small subunit ribosomal RNA", at positions 30 to 523 of the family's 1533-position model. The record is from RNAcentral.